Molecule: long non-coding RNA, 282 nt
Organism: Mauremys mutica (yellowpond turtle)
Lineage: Eukaryota; Metazoa; Chordata; Testudines; Geoemydidae
Exons: 3
Source: RefSeq, a predicted model, not a curated record
CUGAGCUCAAGUCAGUGCUCAGCUUGGCCUCUGGGAGAACUGGUUGGCACUGAGGGAUAUUUCAAUCAGUGUGAGACUUGGCAGACAGGCCUGUGAUAGAAUUACAAUCGGAGUACCAUCAGAAAAGGAUGGAUUACGUCAAAUCAAUGCUGGAUUCUUGGAUGAAGGCGCCAUCGAGGGCCAGACCCCAUCUCCAAAGUAAAUUUGCUGCAUCCCUCUGGCCCCUCAUUGCCUUCUUUAUGCCCAGUGAAGGCUCCUUAUGUGCCACAAAGGCAUAUCAAG